GAAGAGGUGGCUGAGAGGCUUAAAGCAUUGGAUUGCUAAUUCAACACACAUUCUUGUGUCAUGGGUUCGAAUCCCAUUCUCUUCG
Molecule: transfer RNA, 85 nt
Filed under: Ochromonas danica
Lineage: Eukaryota; Chrysophyceae; Chromulinales; Chromulinaceae
Description: tRNA-Ser
Rfam family: tRNA
About the family: Transfer RNA (tRNA) molecules are approximately 80 nucleotides in length.
Source: RNAcentral